RNAcentral lists this microRNA (23 nucleotides) under Caenorhabditis elegans. Its description in RNAcentral is "cel-miR-2218a-3p". The record is from miRBase by way of RNAcentral. Lineage: Eukaryota; Metazoa; Nematoda; Chromadorea; Rhabditida; Rhabditidae.
AGGCCAGAAUAGUGUAGUUUGUA